GUGCGUGCGUGCGUGUGUGUCAUUCCAGCUUGGCAUCAUCAUCACAUGCCUGGAACUGCCUUCAUGGCUUGUGUGUGGACAACAGAGGUGCUGACAGGACUGCUUGGCACAGAGGUGCUCAAGAAGAAUUUUUUAGGGGUGUGGGGGCAGUCAUCCUUACAUACUGUUUGGAUCAAAUUUGACCCCUUUUGACAUAUAAUGACUUUCUAUCAUCACCCAAAAUGCAAAAAAAUUAACAUAUGUGGUGCUCCUAUAUGGCAGACACGCACCUGUUGGUGUUUAACCUGUAACAUAUGUGCGUGCAUGGAAGAUGAACAGAAUGGAACUUUGGAAAAUCAUUUACUUUUUAUGUUCUUGUUUUUAUUUAUUUUUACUGUACAUUUGUUUUCCUGUUUUUGUGUGUGUGUGUGUGUGUACAUGAAUGAGUGUGUGUCAGGGUUAUCGUAAGGUCAGGGAUGAAGCUCCAGGGAAGAGUGCCAAGUGCCAUUGUAACAAACACACACACACACACACACACACACACACAAGAGAGAGAGUCUGGCUGGAGCAGCCAGAACAUCAGCAGUGCAAUACACCCGUCGUUUUGGAGGAAGAUCACAACAUCAAGAGAUAAAAAAUCUAAAACCUUCUCAGUUCCUCUGUGUCAAGCCUUGCUGCAUCCCGGUGUUCAUUUUGUGCCCCCACACACCACCAGAGGAAACAAACAUCAGCUGCCAGCGUCCACAAUGAAUACAGACAACACGUAUGCUGCCUGCCACAUGCAGCCAGGUCUCAUUGGGACACACGUGCGGCCAUCGGUAUUUUACAGCUUUGCAGUUUUGUUGCGGUGGUGCUGCUGGAUGACUUGUCUGCCAUGAGCUCAAAGACAAAGAAAGGACGUCAUUAGAUGGCUGUGGAGCAUCAGCUUCGCCUCGCAAAGCGAAACGCCCGCCUGCCACGCGUGCCACGCCACACUUCAGGUGUGCUGGAUAAUGGAGGAUGACAUUUGUGUCCCAUCAUGCCUCGGGGGCAACAUGUGAUACAUGGCUUCCUUCUAUGAAGGUUAAAAUCGGCUCACCUGCCUUUGGCGUUUCAUUACCCACUUGUUAAAUACUCUUUUGGUAAUAAAAUGAUUAAAGGUUUUAUUGCUUCACUCAAAUGAGGCCUUUUUUCAAAUGGGAGUGAUGACUUUGGAUAUGCAUUUACUGUAUGUCAGUGGCUGUUGUGUGUGUAUGUCUGAGAGUGUGUGUGGACAAGUGCA
This is a long non-coding RNA of Syngnathus acus (greater pipefish), 1240 nucleotides long. RefSeq lists it as uncharacterized. The record is from RefSeq and is a predicted model, not a curated record. Lineage: Eukaryota; Metazoa; Chordata; Actinopteri; Syngnathiformes; Syngnathidae. The transcript is spliced from 5 exons.